This 330-nucleotide small nuclear RNA is filed under the name Myotis brandtii (Brandt's bat). RNAcentral's name for it is "7SK RNA". It matches the Rfam family "7SK RNA". Rfam says of the family: 7SK was discovered as an abundant small nuclear RNA in the mid-70s but a possible function has only recently been suggested. Two independent studies have found that 7SK RNA binds the CDK9/cyclin T complex (known as elongation factor P-TEFb). Lineage: Eukaryota; Metazoa; Chordata; Mammalia; Chiroptera; Vespertilionidae. The record is from Rfam by way of RNAcentral.
GGAUGUGAGGGCGAUCUGGCUGCGACAUCUGUCACCCCCUUGAUCGCCAGGGUUUUUCGGCUGAUCUGGCUGGCUAGGCGGGUGUCCCCCUCCUCCCUCACCGAUCCAUGUGCGUCCCUCCCGAAGCUGCACGCUCCGUCAAAGAGGAUGACCUUCCCCCCGAGGCGAGGACCGGUCUUCGGUCAAGGGUAUACAAGUAGCUGCGCUCCCCUGCUAGAACCUCCAAAGAAGCUCUCAAAGUCCAUUUGUAGGAGAAUGUAGGGUAGUCAAGCUUCCAAGACUCCAGACACAUCCAAAUGAGGCGCUGCACGUGGCAGAGUGCCUUCCUUU